This is a long non-coding RNA of Polyodon spathula (Mississippi paddlefish), 2218 nucleotides long. RefSeq lists it as uncharacterized. NCBI's taxonomy places the organism in Eukaryota, Metazoa, Chordata, Actinopteri, Acipenseriformes, Polyodontidae. The transcript is spliced from 3 exons. The record is from RefSeq and is a predicted model, not a curated record.
CGAGGAUACAACAUGUUUACAAACUCACACCAGACCAAAACAUGCAGCCCAUUUGUUAGUUUUAAUAAUACGUCGAGUUUUCACUCUACAUAGGUACGUUUUACAUUGACAGUAAUUUUUUAAUAGAUAAAAUAAAAAUCAAGACAAGUCACAUAAACACUGCUCCAAAUUGAUUCAUUUCUUUGAGGACAAGAAUUUAAAUAAGCUACUGUUUUGUCACUGACUCUUGAUGGGUUUUGGUCACUGUCUGGCACUGGCUGUCUUGGCAUGGGGGCAAUGGGACCCUGGAUAGUCUCUAUGCCCAGUUCAUAAAGACAGACCUAAAUAUGAAAAGUCAUUGGAUCUAUUUACCCUCAAUAUGACCUUUCAACAAAGUUCCAUUACACAGACAUGCCAAAGGUGAAUGAUCUUAAAGACUAAAAAUUUUGCCAGAUAAUUUUUGUCAGUGCUGAAGGUGCAAUGGUGAGAUGAAAAAACAGGAGGAAAUAGUUUUAUACAGAGCUGUUUUAUUAUGACUAAAUCAAAAACAGACACUGUGUCUGUGGUGCUGAACAGUCUUAAAUCUGAACUGACUGGUUUCACUAAAGGUGUAAGCACCUGAUGCAUUUUUGUUUUAUUAUCACUGCUUUCGCAUUCUUAGGUAUUUUGUUUUUGUUUUUUGGUUUCAAUAUGAGUAGUCAUGUUGUAUAAAAGUCUGUAAAGUGAUAAGCUCAAGUUUAGUCAUGACUUAAGAGAAGACGAGAUAGCACAGCCGCUGUGAUACAAUACAAGACCAGGUGGGAAAAUGUCCAGCGAGUGCUCCUGGAGAGAAGUCUGUUGUAUACUAUUCUGUUGCCCAUGUUACUGCUGCUAUAUAUGUUGUAAGUAUGAUCCAGAAUCACUUGCAUACUUUUAAAGACCCAACUUGACAGUUCUUAUCAAGCACUAUUUUGGUUGUGUGUUGAUAGAGAUAUACAGUAUGUCUGAGUUUUUUUUUUAUUUUUUAAAAUCUAUUUCCAGUUUUGGUAACCUAAAUAGAUUUGUUUAUUUCUUUCUGAAAAAAAAUAUGCAAAUGACGAUUUGGAGUGUAAGUGUGCAUUUGGUCAAAUAUUCUAUUUUCCUCUAAAGAGUUGCUAAUAUACUAAGCUCUUAUUGUGUUUCUGUAUCAAAGGUUUACAUGUGAAUACAUUUUAAAAUAAAACUGGUGCUAAUGGCAUCUGUCAUGGGAAUUGUAUUUACUGUUCAUUUAUUAUUUAUUUAUUUGUCACCUUCCUAUAGGUUUGGAAGAGUCUAAACCGCAAACCCGCACAGUGACUACACAGUCACGUAGGCCAGAGCCAGGCAAGAUAAUGUUUUGAUACAUCUUCAUUGUGGAAUAUGAGAGACAACAGCAAAAUGUAGUUAAUGGAGUGAGGAUUGUGCAACAUGAACACGCUGUGGCUGCAGUUGACCAUCAAGGAAACAUGGUUGUGAUGGGACUCGAGCAAGUUUCACUUCGCUGAAUGUCUGCUGGGAAAUAAUGUGCAAAAAACUUUGAGAAUCUGCUGUGUUGUGUUUGAUACCUUUAAUACUGAAAGCUAAAGAUCGCCCAACUAUAGGAAUAAUUCUAAACAAAACUGUCCCUUGUUUAUUAGUUUAAAUAGAACUGUUAGGAUUAAUACAUUUUAGCCAGUUUAGCAUAAGUAUAGUUUUAGCUGUAAAGACAGUGGCUCACAUUUAUAGAGGAGCACAUCCGGCAGUCUGGUACUGUUCAUCUUUCUAUGAAAGUGUAGAAAGUAUAAACGAUGCAUACUGCUAAUGGACAUGAUCUGGUCUCACGAUAUGUGUGCCAGCCUACAACUUACUCAAGACAGUGAACACGACUGUAUUAUAGUGAGAGAUUGUUCAAUCUGAGGAUUACCACACUAACAGAAGUAUUUACCCAUUUUCUUUUCUUUCAUUCAUUUAUUUAUAUAACCACUUAAAUCCAAUAUUUGGAACUCUCAUGCAGAUAUAUAUAAUAGUAGUGUUUAUUGUGUUUGGCAUGGAUUCAUAUUUACACAGUGAGGAUUUUUUUUAAAUAAACUUCCUGCAAAUAUAUUUAAAAAUCUAUAAUAGUCUUAAUCAGGGUGAGCCCAUGAAUGAACAGACAGAACAUUGUCUUGUGUUUAUAAUAAGCUCAAUGUGUGCAAAGGCAGGCCUAUUUCACAAAUCCUCUACUAGUUUACCUGUUUAGUACUGCGAUGUAUUUCCUACUGCC